This 253-nucleotide ribosomal RNA is filed under the name uncultured microorganism. RNAcentral's name for it is "partial 16S ribosomal RNA". It matches the Rfam family "Bacterial small subunit ribosomal RNA", at positions 524 to 776 of the family's 1533-position model. The record is from RNAcentral.
UACGUAGGGUGCGAGCGUUAAUCGGAUUUACUGGGCGUAAAGGGUGCGCAGGCGGCCCGUUAAGACAGGUGUGAAAUCCCUGGGCUCAACCUAGGAAUUGCGCUUGUGACUGGCGGGCUCGAGUACGGUAGAGGGGGGUGGAAUUCCUGGUGUAGCAGUGAAAUGCGUAGAGAUCAGGAGGAACACCGAUGGCGAAGGCAGCCCCCUGGGCCUGUACUGACGCUCAUGCACGAAAGCGUGGGGAGCAAACAGG